RNAcentral lists this ribosomal RNA (369 nucleotides) under uncultured organism. Its description in RNAcentral is "bacterial SSU rRNA". It matches the Rfam family "Bacterial small subunit ribosomal RNA", at positions 526 to 896 of the family's 1533-position model. The record is from RNAcentral.
CGUAGGGUGCGAGCGUUAAUCGGAAUUACUGGGCGUAAAGCGUGCGCAGGCGGUUUUGUAAGACAGAUGUGAAAUCCCCGGGCUCAACCUGGGACCUGCAUUUGUGACUGCAAGGCUAGAGUACGGUAGAGGGGGAUGGAAUUCCGCGUGUAGCAGUGAAAUGCGUAGAUAUGCGGAGGAACACCGAUGGCGAAGGCAAUCCCCUGGACCUGUACUGACGCUCAUGCACGAAAGCGUGGGGAGCAAACAGGAUUAGAUACCCUGGUAGUCCACGCCCUAAACGAUGUCAACUGGUUGUUGGGUCUUUACUGACUCAGUAACGAAGCUAACGCGUGAAGUUGACCGCCUGGGGAUACGGCCGCAAGGUUG